Molecule: ribosomal RNA, 381 nt
Filed under: uncultured eukaryote
Lineage: Eukaryota
Description: SSU rRNA
Rfam family: Eukaryotic small subunit ribosomal RNA
Source: RNAcentral
AGCUCCAAUAGCGUAUAUUAAAGUUGUUGCAGUUAAAAAGCUCGUAGUUGAAUUUUGGGCCUGGCUGGGUGGUCUUGCCGCAAGGCAAGCACUGCUCUGGUUGGGUCUUUCCUUCUGGGGAACCAGCGUGCCCUUAAUUGAGUGCGUUGGGGAUCCAGGACUUUUACUUUGAAAAAAUUAGAGUGUUUAAAGCAGGCUUACGCUUGAAUACAUUAGCAUGGAAUAAUAGAAUAGGACUUUGGUUCUAUUUUGUUGGUUUCUAGGACCGAAGUAAUGAUUAAUAGGGAUAGUUGGGGGCAUUAGUAUUUAAUUGUCAGAGGUGAGAUUCUUGGAUUUAUGAAAGACUAACUUCUGCGAAAGCAUUUGCCAAGGAUGUUUUCA